UCGGGGUUACAGCCUUGCUGAAUUAUUCACCCUUGUCUUUUGCGUACUUCUUGUUUCCUUGGUGGGUUCGCCCACCACUAGGACAAACAUAAACCUUUUGUAAUUGCAAUCAGCGUCAGUAACAAAUUAAUAAUUACAACUUUCAACAACGGAUCUCUUGGUUCUGGCAUCGAUGAAGAACGCAGCGAAAUGCGAUAAGUAGUGUGAAUUGCAGAAUUCAGUGAAUCAUCGAAUCUUUGAACGCACAUUGCGCCCUUUGGUAUUCCAAAGGGCAUGCCUGUUCGAGCGUCAUUUGUACCCUCAAGCUUUGCUUGGUGUUGGGCGUCUUGUCUCUAGCUUUGCUGGAGACUCGCCUUAAAGUAAUUGGCAGCCGGCCUACUGGUUUCGGAGCGCAGCACAAGUCGCACUCUCUAUCAGCAAAGGUCUAGCAUCCAUUAAGCCUUUUUUUCAACUUUUGACCUCCGAUCAGGUAGGGAUACCCGCUGAAGUUAA
This 492-nucleotide ribosomal RNA is filed under the name Alternaria arborescens. RNAcentral's name for it is "eukaryotic LSU rRNA". The stretch from base 138 to 291 matches the Rfam family "5.8S ribosomal RNA". The record is from RNAcentral. Lineage: Eukaryota; Fungi; Ascomycota; Dothideomycetes; Pleosporales; Pleosporaceae.